Molecule: ribosomal RNA, 1001 nt
Filed under: Simplicillium lanosoniveum
Lineage: Eukaryota; Fungi; Ascomycota; Sordariomycetes; Hypocreales; Cordycipitaceae
Description: SSU rRNA
Rfam family: Eukaryotic small subunit ribosomal RNA
Source: RNAcentral
UGCGAAUGGCUCAUUAUAUAAGUUAUCGUUUAUUUGAUAGUACCUUACUACUUGGAUAACCGUGGUAAUUCUAGAGCUAAUACAUGCUAAAAAUCCCGACUUCGGAAGGGAUGUAUUUAUUAGAUUAAAAACCAAUGCCCUCUGGGCUCUCUGGUGAUUCAUGAUAACUUCUCGAAUCGCAUGGCCUUGCGCCGGCGAUGGUUCAUUCAAAUUUCUUCCCUAUCAACUUUCGAUGUUUGGGUAUUGGCCAAACAUGGUCGCAACGGGUAACGGAGGGUUAGGGCUCGACCCCGGAGAAGGAGCCUGAGAAACGGCUACUACAUCCAAGGAAGGCAGCAGGCGCGCAAAUUACCCAAUCCCGACACGGGGAGGUAGUGACAAUAAAUACUGAUACAGGGCUCUUUCGGGUCUUGUAAUUGGAAUGAGUACAAUUUAAAUCCCUUAACGAGGAACAAUUGGAGGGCAAGUCUGGUGCCAGCAGCCGCGGUAAUUCCAGCUCCAAUAGCGUAUAUUAAAGUUGUUGUGGUUAAAAAGCUCGUAGUUGAACCUUGGGCCUGGCUGGCCGGUCCGCCUCACCGCGUGUACUGGUCCGGCCGGGCCUUUCCCUCUGUGGAACCUCAUGCCCUUCACUGGGCGUGACGGGGAAACAGGACUUUUACUGUGAAAAAAUUAGAGUGCUCCAGGCAGGCCUAUGCUCGAAUACAUUAGCAUGGAAUAAUGAAAUAGGACGUGCGGUUCUAUUUUGUUGGUUUCUAGGACCGCCGUAAUGAUUAAUAGGGACAGUCGGGGGCAUCAGUAUUCAAUUGUCAGAGGUGAAAUUCUUGGAUUUAUUGAAGACUAACUACUGCGAAAGCAUUUGCCAAGGAUGUUUUCAUUAAUCAGGAACGAAAGUUAGGGGAUCGAAGACGAUCAGAUACCGUCGUAGUCUUAACCAUAAACUAUGCCGACUAGGGAUCGGACGAUGUAAAUAAUUGACUCGUUCGGCACCUUACGAGAAAUCA